AGUGAACGCUGGCGGUAGGCCUAACACAUGCAAGUCGAACGGCAGCACAGUAAGAGCCUGCUCUUACGGGUGGCGAGUGGCGGACGGGUGAGGAAUACAUCGGAAUCUACUUUUUCGUGGGGGAUAACGUAGGGAAACUUACGCUAAUACCGCAUACGACCUACGGGUGAAAGCAGGGGAUCUUCGGACCUUGCGCGAUUGAAUGAGCCGAUGUCGGAUUAGCUAGUUGGCGGGGUAAAGGCCCACCAAGGCGACGAUCCGUAGCUGGUCUGAGAGGAUGAUCAGCUACACUGGAACUGAGACACGGUCCAGACUCCUACGGGAGGCAGCAGUGGGGAAUAUUGGACAAUGGGCGCAAGCCUGAUCCAGCCAUACCGCGUGGGUGAAGAAGGCCUUCGGGUUGUAAAGCCCUUUUGUUGGGAAAGAAAAGCAGCAGGUUAAUACCCCGCUGUUCUGACGGUACCCAAAGAAUAAGCACCGGCUAACUUCGUG
Molecule: ribosomal RNA, 492 nt
Filed under: uncultured bacterium
Lineage: Bacteria
Description: partial 16S ribosomal RNA
Rfam family: Bacterial small subunit ribosomal RNA
Source: RNAcentral